UACGUAGGUGACAAGCGUUGUCCGGAUUUACUGGGCGUAAAGAGCGCGCAGGCGGUCGUUCAAGUCGAGUGUGAAAGCCCCCGGCUCAACUGGGGAGGGUCACUCGAUACUGAUCGACUCGAAGGCAGGAGAGGGAAGUGGAAUUCCCGGUGUAGUGGUGAAAUGCGUAGAUAUCGGGAGGAACACCAGUGGCGAAGGCGACUUCCUGGCCUGUUCUUGACGCUGAGCCGCGAAAGCCAGGGGAGCGAACGGG
RNAcentral lists this ribosomal RNA (253 nucleotides) under uncultured bacterium. RNAcentral describes it as "partial 16S ribosomal RNA". It matches the Rfam family "Bacterial small subunit ribosomal RNA", at positions 524 to 776 of the family's 1533-position model. The record is from RNAcentral.